Non-coding RNA from Equus caballus (horse), 919 nucleotides. The record is from RefSeq and is a predicted model, not a curated record. NCBI's taxonomy places the organism in Eukaryota, Metazoa, Chordata, Mammalia, Perissodactyla, Equidae.
AAUCCAAGCUUGGUUGCAUACCAGAUUCGUCUGUGGAGCCCGCACUCCAGACCUCCUGAAUCAACAUUUCCUGGAUGAGGCUCAGGUACAAACAUUUUCACAAAGACCCACAGACGAUUCAGAUCUGUAAAGAGGAACGAAUUCAUCCAGUGUGUUGCCACAGAGCACACCCUUUGGAGUCGCAUCCCUCCGGGCUCUGAGACAGGCUUCUCCACUCUGCCAAGCGAAAGCUGCUCUGGGCUCAGUGUCCUCAACUGAAUUCUGAGUCAAAGUUCGGAGCACCUCUAAGUAUCUUGACAUAUAUUAUUACAUUGCUUUUCGGGAAACUUCCAUGAAUUUAUGUAUCUACCAGCCAUGUGUGAGAAUGCCUGCUUCACUUCAUGCUCAACUACAGAAUCCAUUAAAUUGAACUGGCAAACUGUAUCUGCGAAGGUCGGCACUGAGCUCUUCUCAGCACGAACACGGACGUGAUCAUGGAGGUGACAAGGGCUCUUGAAAAUGUGAGAUUAACCACUUGGUGUUUAGAAAGGGUUUGUAAUUCACAUAAUUAUUGGAACUUCUGAAGGACGAAGGACGUAAGCAGACCAGAGCCUUGAUGAUGUCUGCUCUCUGAAGUUCUUAUUGCUGAAAUCUAAGAAGCCGGAGAAGGGUGGUCUCAAUAUAUUGAGUUUGUAACACAUUACGCUCUUGGAGAUUCAGACUUGGAAUUCAAACUCUACUUGACAUUUCUGAACUUCAUUAAAUUCACGACCAGUCGGAACAUCCUUUAGAACAGAACAUUUCCACUGAGUCCGUAGGAGACUGUUUUCGUUUGGUAUUUGGGACUCAAUUACUUCGGAAGGACGUUUGCCCAUAGAAGUUGACUGAUUCAUUCAUGUUCUGUCCUCAAAGAUAUCGUAGCUUAAAAAAGUGAACUCCA